UACGUAGGUGGCAAGCGUUAUCCGGAUUUACUGGGUGUAAAGGGCGUGUAGGCGGGAAUGUAAGUCAGAUGUGAAAACUAUGGGCUCAACCCAUAGCCUGCAUUUGAAACUGCAUUUCUUGAGUACUGGAGAGGCAGACGGAAUUCCUAGUGUAGCGGUGAAAUGCGUAGAUAUUAGGAGGAACACCAGUGGCGAAGGCGGUCUGCUGGACAGCAACUGACGCUGAGGCGCGAAAGCGUGGGGAGCAAACAGG
RNAcentral lists this ribosomal RNA (253 nucleotides) under Flintibacter butyricus. RNAcentral's name for it is "partial 16S ribosomal RNA". It matches the Rfam family "Bacterial small subunit ribosomal RNA", at positions 524 to 776 of the family's 1533-position model. The record is from RNAcentral. Lineage: Bacteria; Bacillati; Bacillota; Clostridia; Eubacteriales.